RNAcentral lists this transfer RNA (73 nucleotides) under Pteropus alecto (black flying fox). It matches the Rfam family "tRNA". From Rfam's summary of the family: Transfer RNA (tRNA) molecules are approximately 80 nucleotides in length. The record is from Rfam by way of RNAcentral. Lineage: Eukaryota; Metazoa; Chordata; Mammalia; Chiroptera; Pteropodidae.
GCCCCAGCAGCCUACUGGAUAAGGCACUGGUCUCCUAAGCCAGGGAUUGUCAGUUCGAGUCUCACCUGGAGUG